This 404-nucleotide ribosomal RNA is filed under the name Verrucomicrobiota bacterium. Its description in RNAcentral is "Verrucomicrobia bacterium partial 16S ribosomal RNA". It matches the Rfam family "Bacterial small subunit ribosomal RNA", at positions 355 to 776 of the family's 1533-position model. The record is from RNAcentral. Lineage: Bacteria; Pseudomonadati; Verrucomicrobiota.
UGGGGAAUAUUGCACAAUGGGCGCAAGCCUGAUGCAGCAACGCCGCGUGAACGAUGAAGGUCUUCGGAUCGUAAAGUUCUGUUGCAGGGGAAGAUAAUGACGGUACCCUGUGAGGAAGCCCCGGCUAACUACGUGCCAGCAGCCGCGGUAAUACGUAGGGGGCUAGCGUUGUUCGGAUUUACUGGGCGUAAAGCGCACGUAGGCGGACUUUUAAGUCAGGGGUGAAAUCCCGGGGCUCAACCCCGGAACUGCCUUUGAUACUGGAAGUCUUGAGUAUGGUAGAGGUGAGUGGAAUUCCGAGUGUAGAGGUGAAAUUCGUAGAUAUUCGGAGGAACACCAGUGGCGAAGGCGGCUCACUGGACCAUUACUGACGCUGAGGUGCGAAAGCGUGGGGAGCAAACAGG